RNAcentral lists this ribosomal RNA (537 nucleotides) under Trigonopterus sp. 927 AR-2022a. RNAcentral describes it as "partial large subunit ribosomal RNA". It matches the Rfam family "Bacterial large subunit ribosomal RNA", at positions 1824 to 2625 of the family's 2925-position model. Lineage: Eukaryota; Metazoa; Arthropoda; Insecta; Coleoptera; Curculionidae. The record is from RNAcentral.
GGCUUGUUGAUCAUGAUUUCAAGUCUGACCUGCCCAAUGAGUAGUUAAAUGGCCGCGGUAUACUGACCGUGCAAAGGUAGCAUAAUCACUAGUUUUUUAAUUGAAAGCUUGAAUGAAAGGUUUGAUGAGAAAAGGUCUGUCUCUAUGAAAAUUUAUUAGAAUUUUAUUUUUAAGUUAAAAAGCUUAAAUUUGUAUAGAAGACGAGAAGACCCUAUAGAGUUUUAUAAAUGUUUUAAAAAUUGGGCUUUAAGUUUUAAAAGUUUGUUUUUAGGAUAUUUAUUUGGUUGGGGUGACAAAAAAAUUAAAUUAACUUUUUUUAGUACAAAAACAUUAAUUUUUGAAUAGUUGAUCCUGAAUUUUAGAUUAAAAGAGAAAAUUACCUUAGGGAUAACAGCGUAAUUUUUUUUAGAGCUCUUAUCGAAAAAAAAGAUUGCGACCUCGAUGUUGGAUUAAAAUAAAUUAUUGGUGUAGAAGCUAAUAAAUUAGGUCUGUUCGACCUUUAAAAUUUUACAUGAUCUGAGUUUAAACCGGCGUGAG